GCUUAACGCGAAGAACCUUACCUGGGCUAGAAAGCGUAAGAACCUUGGUGAAAACUGAGGGUGCCCUUCGGGGAACGUUACGAUUAGGUGCUGCAUGGCUGUCGUCAGCUCGUGUCGUGAGAUGUUGGGUUAAGUCCCGCAACGAGCGCAACCCUUGUUGUUAGUUGCCAGCAUUAAGUUGGGCACUCUAACAAGACUGCCGACCUUUAAGUCGGAGGAAGGUGGGGAUGACGUCAAGUCCUCAUGGCCCUUACGUCCAGGGCUACACACGUGCUACAAUGACCGGUACAAAGGGUUGCCAAACCGCGAGGUGAGCCAAUCCCAAAAAGCCGGCCUCAGUACGGAUAAGAGUCUGCAACUCGACUCUUUGAAGGCGGAAUCGCUAGUAAUCCCUGAUCAGCAUAGCAGGGGUGAAUACGUUCCCGGGUCUUGUACACACCGGGGUCUUGUACACACCGGGUCUUGUACACACCG
RNAcentral lists this ribosomal RNA (474 nucleotides) under uncultured bacterium. RNAcentral's name for it is "bacterial SSU rRNA". It matches the Rfam family "Bacterial small subunit ribosomal RNA", at positions 954 to 1387 of the family's 1533-position model. The record is from RNAcentral.